This 235-nucleotide ribosomal RNA is filed under the name uncultured bacterium. RNAcentral describes it as "partial 16S ribosomal RNA". It matches the Rfam family "Bacterial small subunit ribosomal RNA", at positions 102 to 334 of the family's 1533-position model. The record is from RNAcentral.
CGACGGGUGAGUAACACGUAUGCAAUCCACCUGUAACAGGGGAGUAACCCGAGAAAUCCGACUAAUACCCAUAAUAUGGGCGCUCCGCAUGGAGAGUCCAUUAAAGAGAGCAAUCUUGGUUACAGACGAGCAUGCGCUCCAUUAGCCAGUUGGCGGGGUAACGGCCCACCUAGUCUUCGAUGGAUAGGGGUUCUGAGAGGAAGGUCCCCCACAUUGGAACUGAGACACGGUCCAA